Molecule: ribosomal RNA, 482 nt
Filed under: uncultured bacterium
Lineage: Bacteria
Description: partial 16S ribosomal RNA
Rfam family: Bacterial small subunit ribosomal RNA
Source: RNAcentral
GAUGAACGUUGGCGGCGUGGAUUAGGCAUGCAAGUCGAGCGAGAACCGUAGCAAUACGGGGACAGCGGCGAAAGGGAGAGGAACACGUGGGUACCUACCCUCAGGCUCAGGAUAGCCAUGGGAAACUAUGGGUAAUACUGAAUAAUGUCUUCGGACCAAGGGUGUGAUUCCGUCCGAGGAGGGGCCCGCGUCCUAUUAGCUAGUUGGUGAGGUAACGGCUCACAAAGGCGAAGAUGGGUACGGGAUGUGAGAGCAUAAUCCCGCUCAUUGGGACUGAGACACUGCCCAGACACCUACGGGUGGCUGCAGUCGAGAAUCUUCGGCAAUGGGGGAAACCCUGACCGAGCGACGCCGCGUGCGAGAUGAAGGCCUUCGGGUUGUAAAUCGCUGUCAGUGGGGAGGAAAUGCUGGUGGGUUCUCCCAUCAGUUUGACCUAUCCGCAGAGGAAGGACGGGCUAAGUUCGUGCCAGCAGCCGCGGUAA